GACGAACGCUGGCGGCGUGCCUAAUACAUGCAAGUAGAACGCACAGUUUAUACCGUAGCUUGCUACACCAUAGACUGUGAGUUGCGAACGGGUGAGUAACGCGUAGGUAACCUGCCUGGUAGCGGGGGAUAACUAUUGGAAACGAUAGCUAAUACCGCAUAAUAUUAAUUAUUGCAUGAUAAUUAAUUGAAAGGUGCAAUUGCACCACUACCAGAUGGACCUGCGUUGUAUUAGCUAGUAGGUGAGGUAACGGCUCACCUAGGCGACGAUACAUAGCCGACCUGAGAGGGUGAUCGGCCACACUGGGACGGAGACACGGCCCAGACUCCUACGGGAGGCAGCAGUAGGGAAGCGUCGGCAAUGGACGAAAGUCUGACCGAGCAACGCCGCGUGAGGGAAGAAGGGUUUCGGAUCGUAAAGCUCGGUUGUAAGAGAAGAACGGGUGUGAGAGUGGAAAGUUCACACUGUGACGGUAUCUGACCAGAAAGGGACGGCUAACUACGUG
RNAcentral lists this ribosomal RNA (505 nucleotides) under uncultured bacterium. RNAcentral describes it as "partial 16S ribosomal RNA". It matches the Rfam family "Bacterial small subunit ribosomal RNA", at positions 28 to 507 of the family's 1533-position model. The record is from RNAcentral.